Alosa alosa (allis shad) is the source of this 582-nucleotide long non-coding RNA. RefSeq lists it as uncharacterized. The transcript is spliced from 3 exons. The record is from RefSeq and is a predicted model, not a curated record. NCBI's taxonomy places the organism in Eukaryota, Metazoa, Chordata, Actinopteri, Clupeiformes, Clupeidae.
CAGCAAAAUCCAUCUUAUUUGUUUUCAAGUAGCAGGGAAUUCAAGCCAACCCGUUGCAACUCUGCCAUCAAUCAUUAUGUUAAGCCCACCUAACGACCAGUAGCGGCUCCUGGGUUGACAAAUAGGCGGGGCAGAGUCUGUUGAUCAAGUUUAGAAAAAAAAUUGGCAUAGUUCCAAGUCACCGGCAGCUGGACGCACAAGGGCGGUCCACGGAGAUUUUGUUCAUUUUUACGACUCUUUCUUUCUAUGGCUAGGCUAUGAGCGAAAUCUGGGGAAUGGAAUUCCAUAAUGUUACCACUUGCGGUCAAAAUACCGGUUUUGUUCAUGCAUUAUUAACCUAUGUUAGUGUAACGGAGUAAAAAGAGUUGCUAGUUAAAUUAUCUUAAAAUUGAUGCAAUUACGCCAUCUAGAGGCAGGUUGAUUUAGUGUGACAGUGGGAUUCGCGUUGCAUUUACCCAGACUGGAGAUUACGAGAUACUGGAUUGUUGUCCCGAGAUCUAUUUGCUGAACCCACAAUUCCACACUGUCAUACUUUGUUCCAGCAAUAAAGAAACCUGAUCCAAGUGGUUGUCCGUGGUGAUG